CCUACGGGAGGCAGCAGUGGGGAAUAUUGCACAAUGGGGGAAACCCUGAUGCAGCGAAGCCGCGUGAGAGAUGAAGUAUUUCGGUAUGUAAAGCUCUAUCAGCAGGGAAGAAGAUGACGGUACCUGACUAAGAAGCCCCGGCUAACUACGUGCCAGCAGCCGCGGUAAUACGUAGGGGGCAAGCGUUAUCCGGAUUUACUGGGUGUAAAGGGAGCGUAGAGGGCGAUGCAAGCCCGAGGUGAAAGCCCGGGGGUCAACCCCGGGACGGCAUUUGGAACUGUGUGGCUGGAGUGUCGGAGAGGCAGGCGGAAUUCCUAGUGUAGCGGUGAAAUGCGUAGAUAUUAGGAGGAACACCAGUGGCGAAGGCGGCCUGCUGGACGAUGACUGACGUUGAGGCUCGAAAGCGUGGGGAGCAAACAGGAUUAGAUACCCGAGUAGUC
RNAcentral lists this ribosomal RNA (440 nucleotides) under uncultured bacterium. RNAcentral's name for it is "partial 16S ribosomal RNA". It matches the Rfam family "Bacterial small subunit ribosomal RNA", at positions 338 to 795 of the family's 1533-position model. The record is from RNAcentral.